UUCCUCCUGGAUGGUUCUGAUGGCACACGGAAUGGCUUCCCUGCCAUGCUUGAUUUUGUUAAGAGAGUGGUGGAGAAAUUGAAUGUAGGACCUAACAAUGACCGUGUCUCUGUGGUCCAAUACAGCAGAGAUGCAGAGAUCCAUUUCUAUCUGAACACAUACACCACAAGACAGGAUAUUUUGGAUACAGUCAGAGGGCUGAGACAUAGAGGAGGCAGACCCCUCAACACCGGGGCGGCCCUCCAAUACGUCAGGGACAACGCCUUUACAAACUCCUCCGGGAGCAGGCGCCUGCAAGGUGUUCCACAAAUGUUGAUCCUGCUAAAUGGUGGAAGGUCUUUUGACAAUGUAGAUACCCCAGCCUCUGCUCUCAAACAGCAGGGUGUCUAUGUGAUAGGCAUUGGCACAAGGAACUCUGACACUAGGGAGCUGCAGAAGAUAUCAUAUGACCCUAGUUCUGCUCUAUCAGUGUCUGAUUUCACUGACCUCCCCAGUGCCCAGGAACAGCUCUCCUCUGUAAUGAACACAGUGCUAACCAGGGCCACGCCCAUCACACCAACAAAAGCUGGUAAGAAAGUGACAGAUUUUUAUUUUCCAAGGUCAUGGUAGGAUGCAAAUUGAACAGUAUGACAGUGUAUUUAUUGUAGCUGAGGCAAGCCAGCAGCACUCUGAGAAUACAUUUGUUCCAGAUUAUACAGAGUACAUUGUUAAAUUCCAGGUUAGCUUUGGUCAUCUGACUUUCACAUGGAAAACAUUUGACACAUGAACCUGAACAUGUCUGACAUUUUUUAUUCCCUAGUGGAGAGACAGCCAGCAGGAAAAGAUAUUGUGUUCUUGUUGGAUGGAUCUGAUGGUACUAGAACUGGCUUCCCAGCUGUGAAAGACUUUGUCCAAAGAGUUGUAGAGACACUCAGUGUGGAUGACAACAAAGACCGUGUCUCAGUGGUUCAGUACAGCAAAGAGCCAGCUGCCCAAUUCUAUCUGAACACGUACACCACAAAAGGCGACAUCCUUGACACUGUCAGAGGAUUGAGGCACAAAGGUGGAAGACCCCUCAACACUGGAGCAGCUCUCCAGUACUUGAGGGAUAAUGUCUUCACGGCCUCUGCUGGAAGCAGGCUCCAGGAAGGAGUCCCACAGGUCCUAGUUUUGAUAAGUGGUGGAAGGUCUUUUGACAGUGUUGAUGCACCAGCCUCUGCUCUCAAAGAGCUGGGUGUCUUGACCUUUGCAAUUGGAACCAGGAGUGCUGAUAGCAAAGAACUGCAGAAGAUAUCCCACGACCCCAGCUAUGCACUAACUGUGUCUGAAUUCACUGACCUUCCCAAUGUCCAACAACAACUUCAGUCCUCCGUGGAGGCUGUGGUUAUCGAGGUCUCCCCAGAAUCACCACCUGUUCCUGUCGAUACUGCCAAAAAGGAUAUCGUUUUCCUCCUGGAUGGUUCUGAUGGCACACGGAAUGGCUUCCCUGCCAUGCUUGAUUUUGUUAAGAGAGUGGUGGAGAAAUUGAAUGUAGGACCUAACAAUGACCGUGUCUCUGUGGUCCAAUACAGCAGAGAUGCAGAGAUCCAUUUCUAUCUGAACACAUACACCACAAGACAGGAUAUUUUGGAUACAGUCAGAGGGCUGAGACAUAGAGGAGGCAGACCCCUCAACACCGGGGCGGCCCUCCAAUACGUCAGGGACAACGCCUUUACAAACUCCUCCGGGAGCAGGCGCCUGCAAGGUGUUCCACAAAUGUUGAUCCUGCUAAAUGGUGGAAGGUCUUUUGACAAUGUAGAUACCCCAGCCUCUGCUCUCAAACAGCAGGGUGUCUAUGUGAUAGGCAUUGGCACAAGGAACUCUGACACUAGGGAGCUGCAGAAGAUAUCAUAUGACCCUAGUUCUGCUCUAUCAGUGUCUGAUUUCACUGACCUCCCCAGUGCCCAGGAACAGCUCUCCUCUGUAAUGAACACAGUGCUAACCAGGGCCACGCCCAUCACACCAACAAAAGCUGGUAAGAAAGUGACAGAUUUUUAUUUUCCAAGGUCAUGGUAGGAUGCAAAUUGAACAGUAUGACAGUGUAUUUAUUGUAGCUGAGGCAAGCCAGCAGCACUCUGAGAAUACAUUUGUUCCAGAUUAUACAGAGUACAUUGUUAAAUUCCAGGUUAGCUUUGGUCAUCUGACUUUCACAUGGAAAACAUUUGACACAUGAACCUGAACAUGUCUGACAUUUUUUAUUCCCUAGUGGAGAGACAGCCAGCAGGAAAAGAUAUUGUGUUCUUGUUGGAUGGAUCUGAUGGUACUAGAACUGGCUUCCCAGCUGUGAAAGACUUUGUCCAAAGAGUUGUAGAGACACUCAGUGUGGAUGACAACAAAGACCGUGUCUCAGUGGUUCAGUACAGCAAAGAGCCAGCUGCCCAAUUCUAUCUGAACACGUACACCACAAAAGGCGACAUCCUUGACACUGUCAGAGGAUUGAGGCACAAAGGUGGAAGACCCCUCAACACUGGAGCAGCUCUCCAGUACUUGAGGGAUAAUGUCUUCACGGCCUCUGCUGGAAGCAGGCUCCAGGAAGGAGUCCCACAGGUCCUAGUUUUGAUAAGUGGUGGAAGGUCUUUUGACAGUGUUGAUGCACCAGCCUCUGCUCUCAAAGAGCUGGGUGUCUUGACCUUUGCAAUUGGAACCAGGAGUGCUGAUAGCAAAGAACUGCAGAAGAUAUCCCACGACCCCAGCUAUGCACUAACUGUGUCUGAAUUCACUGACCUUCCCAAUGUCCAACAACAACUUCAGUCCUCCGUGGAGGCUGUGGUUAUCGAGGUCUCCCCAGAAUCACCACCUGUUCCUGUCGAUACUGCCAAAAAGGAUAUCGUUUUCCUCCUGGAUGGUUCUGAUGGCACACGGAAUGGCUUCCCUGCCAUGCUUGAUUUUGUUAAGAGAGUGGUGGAGAAAUUGAAUGUAGGACCUAACAAUGACCGUGUCUCUGUGGUCCAAUACAGCAGAGAUGCAGAGAUCCAUUUCUAUCUGAACACAUACACCACAAGACAGGAUAUUUUGGAUACAGUCAGAGGGCUGAGACAUAGAGGAGGCAGACCCCUCAACACCGGGGCGGCCCUCCAAUACGUCAGGGACAACGCCUUUACAAACUCCUCCGGGAGCAGGCGCCUGCAAGGUGUUCCACAAAUGUUGAUCCUGCUAAAUGGUGGAAGGUCUUUUGACAAUGUAGAUACCCCAGCCUCUGCUCUCAAACAGCAGGGUGUCUAUGUGAUAGGCAUUGGCACAAGGAACUCUGACACUAGGGAGCUGCAGAAGAUAUCAUAUGACCCUAGUUCUGCUCUAUCAGUGUCUGAUUUCACUGACCUCCCCAGUGCCCAGGAACAGCUCUCCUCUGUAAUGAACACAGUGCUAACCAGGGCCACGCCCAUCACACCAACAAAAGCUGGUAAGAAAGUGACAGAUUUUUAUUUUCCAAGGUCAUGGUAGGAUGCAAAUUGAACAGUAUGACAGUGUAUUUAUUGUAGCUGAGGCAAGCCAGCAGCACUCUGAGAAUACAUUUGUUCCAGAUUAUACAGAGUACAUUGUUAAAUUCCAGGUUAGCUUUGGUCAUCUGACUUUCACAUGGAAAACAUUUGACACAUGAACCUGAACAUGUCUGACAUUUUUUAUUCCCUAGUGGAGAGACAGCCAGCAGGAAAAGAUAUUGUGUUCUUGUUGGAUGGAUCUGAUGGUACUAGAACUGGCUUCCCAGCUGUGAAAGACUUUGUCCAAAGAGUUGUAGAGACACUCAGUGUGGAUGACAACAAAGACCGUGUCUCAGUGGUUCAGUACAGCAAAGAGCCAGCUGCCCAAUUCUAUCUGAACACGUACACCACAAAAGGCGACAUCCUUGACACUGUCAGAGGAUUGAGGCACAAAGGUGGAAGACCCCUCAACACUGGAGCAGCUCUCCAGUACUUGAGGGAUAAUGUCUUCACGGCCUCUGCUGGAAGCAGGCUCCAGGAAGGAGUCCCACAGGUCCUAGUUUUGAUAAGUGGUGGAAGGUCUUUUGACAGUGUUGAUGCACCAGCCUCUGCUCUCAAAGAGCUGGGUGUCUUGACCUUUGCAAUUGGAACCAGGAGUGCUGAUAGCAAAGAACUGCAGAAGAUAUCCCACGACCCCAGCUAUGCACUAACUGUGUCUGAAUUCACUGACCUUCCCAAUGUCCAACAACAACUUCAGUCCUCCGUGGAGGCUGUGGUUAUCGAGGUCUCCCCAGAAUCACCACCUGUUCCUGUCGAUACUGCCAAAAAGGAUAUCGUUUUCCUCCUGGAUGGUUCUGAUGGCACACGGAAUGGCUUCCCUGCCAUGCUUGAUUUUGUUAAGAGAGUGGUGGAGAAAUUGAAUGUAGGACCUAACAAUGACCGUGUCUCUGUGGUCCAAUACAGCAGAGAUGCAGAGAUCCAUUUCUAUCUGAACACAUACACCACAAGACAGGAUAUUUUGGAUACAGUCAGAGGGCUGAGACAUAGAGGAGGCAGACCCCUCAACACCGGGGCGGCCCUCCAAUACGUCAGGGACAACGCCUUUACAAACUCCUCCGGGAGCAGGCGCCUGCAAGGUGUUCCACAAAUGUUGAUCCUGCUAAAUGGUGGAAGGUCUUUUGACAAUGUAGAUACCCCAGCCUCUGCUCUCAAACAGCAGGGUGUCUAUGUGAUAGGCAUUGGCACAAGGAACUCUGACACUAGGGAGCUGCAGAAGAUAUCAUAUGACCCUAGUUCUGCUCUAUCAGUGUCUGAUUUCACUGACCUCCCCAGUGCCCAGGAACAGCUCUCCUCUGUAAUGAACACAGUGCUAA
Molecule: non-coding RNA, 4810 nt
Organism: Labrus bergylta (ballan wrasse)
Lineage: Eukaryota; Metazoa; Chordata; Actinopteri; Labriformes; Labridae
Source: RefSeq, a predicted model, not a curated record